CGGUGCAUUAAUGCUGGUAUGAUCGCACCCGUUAGAAAGUGGAUUGGAAGAUUACUAAUGCAUCAGUGCGAAUGCGAAGAACGGUUUCAAUAACGUUUAAAAGUGCAAGUGAAAAUGAAAAAAAGAGGAAAAAAAUUUAGAAAACAAAUGAACGGAAAGAAGAUAACUUUGAGGAAUCAAAUCGAAAACCUGAUGGAAAGGAAAAAAAAGAAACUAAAAUUAAAAGGGGACUGCGAGCGAGAAAAAGCAAAAAGUAGUGCAACAGGAGGACUUUCCAAGAGGUCACCCAUCAUAGUACUGCUCUCGCCCAAGCACGCUUAACUGCGGAGUUCUGAUGG
This 338-nucleotide ribosomal RNA is filed under the name Allium cepa (onion). Lineage: Eukaryota; Viridiplantae; Streptophyta; Magnoliopsida; Asparagales; Amaryllidaceae. The record is from RNAcentral.